GACGAACGCUGGCGGCGUGCUUAACACAUGCAAGUCGAACGGAAAGGCCCUGCUUUUGUGGGGUGCUCGAGUGGCGAACGGGUGAGUAACACGUGAGUAACCUGCCCUUGACUUUGGGAUAACUUCAGGAAACUGGGGCUAAUACCGGAUAGGAGCUCCUGCUGCAUGGUGGGGGUUGGAAAGUUUCGGCGGUUGGGGAUGGACUCGCGGCUUAUCAGCUUGUUGGUGGGGUAGUGGCUUACCAAGGCUUUGACGGGUGGCCGGCCUGAGAGGGUGACCGGCCACAUUGGGACUGAGAUACGGCCCAGAAUCCUACGGGAGGCAGCAGUGGGGAAUAUUGCACAAUGGGCGGAAGCCUGAUGCAGCAACGCCGCGUGCGGGAUGACGGCCUUCGGGUUGUAAACCGCUUUCGCCUGUGACGAAGCGUGAGUGACGGUAAUGGGUAAAGAAGCACCGGCUAACUACGUG
RNAcentral lists this ribosomal RNA (468 nucleotides) under uncultured bacterium. RNAcentral describes it as "partial 16S ribosomal RNA". It matches the Rfam family "Bacterial small subunit ribosomal RNA", at positions 28 to 507 of the family's 1533-position model. The record is from RNAcentral.